UGGGGAAUAUUGCACAAUGGGCGCAAGCCUGAUGCAGCCAUGCCGCGUGUGUGAAGAAGGUCUUCGGAUUGUAAAGCACUUUCGACGGGGACGGAUGAUGACGGUACCCGUAGAAGAAGCCCCGGCUAACUUCGUGCCAG
Molecule: ribosomal RNA, 140 nt
Filed under: uncultured bacterium
Lineage: Bacteria
Description: partial 16S ribosomal RNA
Rfam family: Bacterial small subunit ribosomal RNA
Source: RNAcentral